CAGUAGCCACGGGAAUACGGAGGGCGCGAGCGUUACCCGGAUUUACUGGGCGUAAAGGGCGUGUAGGCGGCCUGGGGCGUCCCAUGUGAAAGGCCACGGCUCAACCGUGGAGGAGCGUGGGAUACGCUCAGGCUAGAGGGUGGGAGAGGGUGGUGGAAUUCCCGGAGUAGCGGUGGAAUGCGCAGAUACCGGGAGGAACGCCGAUGGCGAAGGCAGCCACCUGGUCCACUUCUGACGCUGAGGCGCGAAAGCGUGGGGAGCAAACCGGAUUAGAUACCCCCGUAGUCCCUGUCUCUUAUAC
This 301-nucleotide ribosomal RNA is filed under the name uncultured bacterium. Its description in RNAcentral is "partial 16S ribosomal RNA". It matches the Rfam family "Bacterial small subunit ribosomal RNA", at positions 509 to 807 of the family's 1533-position model. The record is from RNAcentral.